UACGAAGGGGGCUAGCGUUGUUCGGAAUCACUGGGCGUAAAGCGUGUGUAGGCGGCCAGGCAAGUCGGGUGUGAAAGCCCCGGGCUCAACCCGGGAAGUGCACUCGAUACUGCUUGGCUCGAGUAUCGGAGAGGUUGGUGGAAUUCUCGGUGUAGAGGUGAAAUUCGUAGAUAUCGAGAGGAACACCGGUGGCGAAGGCGGCCAACUGGACGAAUACUGACGCUGAGACACGAAAGCGUGGGGAGCAAACAGG
RNAcentral lists this ribosomal RNA (253 nucleotides) under uncultured bacterium. RNAcentral's name for it is "partial 16S ribosomal RNA". It matches the Rfam family "Bacterial small subunit ribosomal RNA", at positions 524 to 776 of the family's 1533-position model. The record is from RNAcentral.